CUACGGGCCGCAGCAGUGAGGAAUAUUGGACAAUGGAGGCAACUCUGAUCCAGCCAUGCCGCGUGCAGGAAGACGGCCCUAUGGGUUGUAAACUGCUUUUAUACAGGAAGAAACGCCUCCUCGUGAGGGGGUUUGACGGUACUGCACGAAUAAGGAUCGGCUAACUCCGUGCCAGCAGCCGCGUGUAAUACGGAGGAUCCAAGCGUUAUCCGGAAUCAUUGGGUUUAAAGGGUCCGUAGGCGGUUUAAUAAGUCAGAGGUGAAAUCCUACAGCUCAACUGUAGAAUUGCCUUUGAUACUUUUAGACUUGAGUUAUUGUGAAGUAGUUAGAAUGUGUAGUGUAGCGGUGAAAUGCAUAGAUAUUACACAGAAUACCGAUUGCGAAAGCAGAUUACUAACAAUACACUGACGCUGAGGGACGAAAGCGUGGGUAGCGAACAGGAUUAGAUACCCUGGUAGUC
RNAcentral lists this ribosomal RNA (460 nucleotides) under uncultured bacterium. RNAcentral describes it as "partial 16S ribosomal RNA". It matches the Rfam family "Bacterial small subunit ribosomal RNA", at positions 339 to 795 of the family's 1533-position model. The record is from RNAcentral.